This 253-nucleotide ribosomal RNA is filed under the name uncultured bacterium. RNAcentral's name for it is "partial 16S ribosomal RNA". It matches the Rfam family "Bacterial small subunit ribosomal RNA", at positions 524 to 776 of the family's 1533-position model. The record is from RNAcentral.
UACAGAGGGUGCGAGCGUUAAUCGGAAUUACUGGGCGUAAAGCGUGCGCAGACGGCCCGGUAAGUCCGUUGUGAAAGUCAAAGGCUCAACCUUUGAAUGCCGAUGGAUACUGCCGGGCUAGAGUCCGGAAGAGGCGAGUGGAAUUCCUGGUGUAGCGGUGGAAUGCGCAGAUAUCAGGAGGAACACCGAUAGCGAAGGCAGCUCGCUGGGACGGUACUGACGCUGAGGCGCGAAAGCGUGGGGAGCGAACAGG